RNAcentral lists this ribosomal RNA (301 nucleotides) under uncultured bacterium. RNAcentral's name for it is "partial 16S ribosomal RNA". It matches the Rfam family "Bacterial small subunit ribosomal RNA", at positions 509 to 807 of the family's 1533-position model. The record is from RNAcentral.
CAGUAGCCGCGGUAAUACGUAGGUGGCAAGCGUUGUCCGGAAUUAUUGGGCGUAAAGGGCUCGCAGGCGGUUUCUUGAGUCUGAUGUGAAAGCCCCCGGCUCAACCGGGGAGGGUCCUUGGAAACUGGGAAACUUGAGUGCAGAAGAGGAGAGUGGAAUUCCACGCGUAGCGGUGAAAUGCGUAGAGAUGUGGAGGAACACCAGUGGCGAAGGCGACUCUCUGGUCUGUAACUGACGCUGAGGAGCGAAAGCGUGGGGAGCGAACAGGAUUAGAGACCCCUGUAGUCCCUGUCUCUUAUAC